GUGUGGAGCAUGUGGUUUAAUUCGAUGCAACGCGAAGAACCUUUACCAAGGUUUGACAUGCCAGAAGUAGGAACUCGAAAGAGAGACCACCUGUAUCCAGUCAGGAAUUGGCACAGGUGCUGCAUGGCUGUCGUCAGCUCGUGCCGUGAGGUGUUAGGUUAAGUCCUGCAACGAGCGCAACCCUCGUCGCUAGUUAAUUUCACUAGCGAUACUGCCCGUAAAACGAGGAGGAAGGUGGGGAUGACGUCAAGUCAGCAUGGCCCUUACGCCUUGGGCUACACACACGCUACAAUGGGUGAUACAAUGGGAUGCCAAAGAGCAAUCUGGAGCUAAUCCCUAAAAAUCAUCCUCAGUUCGGAUUGUAGGCUGAAACUGCCUGCAUGAAGUUGGAGUUGCUAGUAACCGCAGGUCAGCACACUGCGGUGAAUACGUUCUCGGGCCUU
RNAcentral lists this ribosomal RNA (443 nucleotides) under uncultured Chloroflexota bacterium. RNAcentral's name for it is "bacterial SSU rRNA". It matches the Rfam family "Bacterial small subunit ribosomal RNA", at positions 930 to 1382 of the family's 1533-position model. The record is from RNAcentral. Lineage: Bacteria; Bacillati; Chloroflexota.